RNAcentral lists this ribosomal RNA (1345 nucleotides) under uncultured bacterium. RNAcentral's name for it is "16S ribosomal RNA". It matches the Rfam family "Bacterial small subunit ribosomal RNA", at positions 28 to 1378 of the family's 1533-position model. The record is from RNAcentral.
GACGAACGCUGGCGGCGUGCUUAACACAUGCAAGUCGAACGGAAAGGCCCUGCUUUUGUGGGGUGCUCGAGUGGCGAACGGGUGAGUAACACGGGAGUAACCUGCCCUUGACUUUGGGAUAACUUCAGGAAACUGGGGCUAAUACCGGAUAGGAGCUCCUGCUGCAUGGUGGGGGUUGGAAAGUUUCGGCGGUUGGGGAUGGACUCGCGGCUUAUCAGCUUGUUGGUGGGGUAGUGGCUUACCAAGGCUUUGACGGGUAGCCGGCCUGAGAGGGUGACCGGCCACAUUGGGACUGAGAUACGGCCCAGACUCCUACGGGAGGCAGCAGUGGGGAAUAUUGCACAAUGGGCGGAAGCCUGAUGCAGCAACGCCGCGUGCGGGAUGACGGCCUUCGGGUUGUAAACCGCUUUCGCCUGUGACGAAGCGUGAGUGACGGUAAUGGGUAAAGAAGCACCGGCUAACUACGUGCCAGCAGCCGCGGUGAUACGUAGGGUGCGAGCGUUGUCCGGAUUUAUUGGGCGUAAAGGGCUCGUAGGUGGUUGAUCGCGUCGGAAGUGUAAUCUUGGGGCUUAACCCUGAGCGUGCUUUCGAUACGGGUUGACUUGAGGAAGGUAGGGGAGAAAUGGAAUUCCUGGUGGAGCGGUGGAAUGCGCAGAUAUCAGGAGGAACACCAGUGGCGAAGGCGGUUCCUCUGGGCCUUUCCUGACGCUGAGGAGCGAAAGCGUGGGGAGCGAACAGGCUUAGAUACCCUGGUAGUCCACGCUGUAAACGGUGGGUACUAGGUGUGGGGUCCAUUCCACGGGUUCCGUGCCGUAGCUAACGCUUUAAGUACCCCGCCUGGGGAGUACGGCCGCAAGGCUAAAACUCAAAGGAAUUGACGGGGCCCCGCACAAGCGGCGGAGCAUGCGGAUUAAUUCGAUGCAACGCGUAGAACCUUACCUGGGUUUGACAUGGAUCGGGAGUGCUCAGAGAUGGGUGUGCCUCUUUUGGGGUCGGUUCACAGGUGGUGCAUGGCUGUCGUCAGCUCGUGUCGUGAGAUGUUGGGUUAAGUCCCGCAACGAGCGCAACCCUUGUUCACUGUUGCCAGCACGUUAUGGUGGGGACUCAGUGGAGACCGCCGGGGUCAACUCGGAGGAAGGUGGGGAUGACGUCAAGUCAUCAUGCCCCUUAUGUCCAGGGCUUCACGCAUGCUACAAUGGCUGGUACAGAGAGUGGCGAGCCUGUAAGGGUGAGCGAAUCUCGGAAAGCCGGUCUCAGUUCGGAUUGGGGUCUGCAACUCGACCUCAUGAAGUCGGAGUCGCUAGUAAUCGCAGAUCAGCAACGCUGCGGUGAAUACGUUCCCGGG